UACGUAGGGUGCGAGCGUUAAUCGGAAUUACUGGGCGUAAAGCGUGCGCAGGCGGUUAUAUAAGACAGAUGUGAAAUCCCCGGGCUCAACCUGGGAACUGCAUUUGUGACUGUAUAGCUAGAGUACGGUAGAGGGGGAUGGAAUUCCGCGUGUAGCAGUGAAAUGCGUAGAUAUGCGGAGGAACACCGAUGGCGAAGGCAAUCCCCUGGACCUGUACUGACGCUUAUGCACGAAAGCGUGGGGAGCAAACAGG
This 253-nucleotide ribosomal RNA is filed under the name uncultured bacterium. RNAcentral's name for it is "partial 16S ribosomal RNA". It matches the Rfam family "Bacterial small subunit ribosomal RNA", at positions 524 to 776 of the family's 1533-position model. The record is from RNAcentral.